ACAGAUUUCAAAAAGCAAUUCGACAUGUAAUGACAUCUUUGGAAAUUCAUUAAUCUUCUGGUCCUUGAUGCUGUCCAAAAUAUGGGGUAAAAGGCCAGUUUGUAUCUAAAAUUUGGAAAGAGUUUAUUUCUUGGCAUCGUGUGAGUGUACUGCGGGAUAACGUUUGGUCUAUGUGUGUAACAAAUCGAGAGCUUAGCGAGCAAAAGAAAAUUUUGGGCAAGUCGGAUGGUUGAGAUAUCCUGUUCGUCCUCUAAACUCUGAAGCUUUUAACAUAAUCCGAGGCGUCCAGCUAGUCAAUGAAAAUGAACCAAAUCAAAAUCUUGACACGAAUAAGAGGAAAACCAGAAGUUGCGGAACAUUCGGUCUCUUCGAUCCGUUUUUAUUUCCUUGAAGUUUCCUUACGUUCGAGUACAUAGGAAAGCAGGAAUCAAGAAUGUGAUGAUGGUGGUAUCACUAGCUGCACGACAGUGUAGGCAGAGGCGGCGGCGGCGGUGGUGGCAGGUGGAUUGGUGUAGGAGGCCGCCAUUUGUAACUGACAGGGACAUUUGCCUUGGGAGGUGGUGGAGGAGAUCUUCUGGCGAGCCGGUCUGGCAAUGCCACAUUCGACCGAUGAUCCCUUGAACCUUCAUCAGACGAAGCUGCGGGUACAAGCAGCUGGAGGCUCAAGAUGAGAGCAAGAGACUUUGGAGGAAUGGCGACCGUGGUGUUGG
This 710-nucleotide long non-coding RNA is filed under the name Eucalyptus grandis. Its description in RNAcentral is "long non-coding RNA (EGRA_LNC005246)". Lineage: Eukaryota; Viridiplantae; Streptophyta; Magnoliopsida; Myrtales; Myrtaceae. The record is from RNAcentral.